RNAcentral lists this transfer RNA (72 nucleotides) under Ictidomys tridecemlineatus (thirteen-lined ground squirrel). RNAcentral's name for it is "Spermophilus tridecemlineatus (thirteen-lined ground squirrel) tRNA". It matches the Rfam family "tRNA". From Rfam's summary of the family: Transfer RNA (tRNA) molecules are approximately 80 nucleotides in length. Lineage: Eukaryota; Metazoa; Chordata; Mammalia; Rodentia; Sciuridae. The record is from Rfam by way of RNAcentral.
GGUGUUGUGGCUCAGUGGUCGAGCACUUGUCUAGCAUGUGAGAGGUUCUGGGUUCGAUCCUUAGCACCACAU